GCCGGGGUGGUGGAAUUGGUAGACACGACGGACUUAAAAUCCGUUGGGCUUAAACGCCCGUGCCGGUUCAAGUCCGGCCCUCGGUACCA
RNAcentral lists this transfer RNA (89 nucleotides) under Rickettsiales bacterium. Its description in RNAcentral is "tRNA-Leu". It matches the Rfam family "tRNA". Rfam says of the family: Transfer RNA (tRNA) molecules are approximately 80 nucleotides in length. Their secondary structure includes four short double-helical elements and three loops (D, anti-codon, and T loops). The record is from RNAcentral. Lineage: Bacteria; Pseudomonadati; Pseudomonadota; Alphaproteobacteria; Rickettsiales.